CAAAAUGUAGCUUAAUUAAAGCCCCUCGCUUACACCGAACACAUAUCUGUUAANCCCAGAUCAUNNGGGG
RNAcentral lists this transfer RNA (70 nucleotides) under Kassina cochranae (spotted running frog). RNAcentral describes it as "tRNA-Val". The record is from RNAcentral. Lineage: Eukaryota; Metazoa; Chordata; Amphibia; Anura; Hyperoliidae.